UGAGGUGUGAGUGAGUCCAACCCUGAGGGUCUUCCCAAGCUGGAGGUCCCUGGGUGUAGACGGAAGAGGUUCUGGUCAAAGAGGCCUGGUGUUGAAUCCUGGUCCAUUUAUUCAUUUGGUCAAGAAAUAUUCACGGAGGACCCACUAUGUGCCAGGUGCCAAGCCAGGUGACUGGGGACACAGUGUUGAGUGGGACAGUUGGCUCCUUCACUGCUAGAGAACUGUUAAGAGUCUGAGACUUCAUCCUAUUUGCAGACUAAAAAGUAAGCCUGCCACAGUGCCAUGGAUACUGGCAGAAGAUACAAGACUCCUGGGUCAGAGACAACGAAUAAUCUGUUUUUCACAGCAAUAGCAGUUGCCAAGGUAUCAGCAUUGUCUUGCACCAGUUCCACAAGGUGAUGCAAAGAGGGCCAGGUGACAUCUGCAUGCCAGAGCUCAGGGAUCCCAAAUAUUUCAUACUUGACAGUAAGCAUAUAUCUGUGUUUUGCUCCAAAGAGAGGCAUUCUCUGUACCUUCCGAGGUUGUUCACUCUACAAACACUCUUGAAAAGAUAAUCCACAAUCAGUGCCUUUGCCCGAGAGACAUGCAGAAAUGCAGAGAUCCAUAGUAGACCACUGUCUC
RNAcentral lists this long non-coding RNA (621 nucleotides) under Pan troglodytes (chimpanzee). RNAcentral's name for it is "long non-coding RNA NONPTRT009546". Lineage: Eukaryota; Metazoa; Chordata; Mammalia; Primates; Hominidae. The record is from RNAcentral.